CGCUAUCACUCCUACGGGGAGGCAGCAGUAGGGAAUCUUCCACAAUGGGCGCAAGCCUGAUGGAGCAACACCGCGUGAGUGAAGAAGGGUUUCGGCUCGCAAAGCUCUGUUGUUUAAAGAAGAACACGUAUGAGAGUAACUGUUCAUACGUUGACGGUAUUUAACCAGAAAGUCACGGCUAACUACGUGCCAGCAGCCGCGGUAAUACGUAGGUGGCAAGCGUUAUCCGGAUUUAUUGGGCGUAAAGAGAGUGCAGGCGGUUUUCUAAGUCUGAUGUGGAAGCCUUCGGCUUAACCGGAGAAGUGCAUCGGAAACUGGAUAACCUGAGUGCAGAAGAGGGUAGUGGAACUCCAUGUGUAGCGGUGGAAUGCGUAGAUAUAUGGAAGAACACCAGUGGCGAAGGCGGCUACCUGGUCUGCAACUGACGCUGAGACUCGAAAGCAUGGGUAGCGAACAGGAUUAGAUACCCUGGUAG
RNAcentral lists this ribosomal RNA (475 nucleotides) under uncultured bacterium. RNAcentral's name for it is "bacterial SSU rRNA". It matches the Rfam family "Bacterial small subunit ribosomal RNA", at positions 328 to 793 of the family's 1533-position model. The record is from RNAcentral.